AUUGAACGCUGGCGGCAGGCUUAACACAUGCAAGUCGAGCGGGGUGAUGGUGCUUGCACUAUCACUUAGCGGCGGACGGGUGAGUAAUGCUUAGGAAUCUGCCUAUUAGUGGGGGACAACAUCUCGAAAGGGAUGCUAAUACCGCAUACGUCCUACGGGAGAAAGCAGGGGAUCACUUGUGACCUUUCGCUAAUAGAUGAGCCUAAGUCGGAUUAGCUAGUUGGUGGGGUAAAGGCCUACCAAGGCGACGAUCUGUAGCGGGUCUGAGAGGAUGAUCCGCCACACUGGGACUGAGACACGGCCCAGACUACUACGGGAGGCAGCAGUGGGGAAUAUUGGACAAUGGGGGGAACCCUGAUCCAGCCAUGCCGCGUGUGUGAAGAAGGCCUUAUGGUUGUAAAGCACUUUAAGCGAGGAGGAGGCUCUUUUGGUUAAUACCCAAGAUGAGUGGACGUUACUCGCAGAAUAAGCACCGGCUAACUCUGUGCCAGCAGCCGCCGUAA
Molecule: ribosomal RNA, 503 nt
Filed under: uncultured bacterium
Lineage: Bacteria
Description: partial 16S ribosomal RNA
Rfam family: Bacterial small subunit ribosomal RNA
Source: RNAcentral